UGGGGAAUUUUGGACAAUGGGGGAAACCCUGAUCCAGCCAUCCCGCGUGUGCGAUGAAGGCCUUCGGGUUGUAAAGCACUUUUGGCAGGAAAGAAACGUCAUGGGUUAAUACCCCGUGAAACUGACGGUACCUGCAGAAUAAGCACCGGCUAACUACGUGCCAGCAGCCGCGGUAAUACGUAGGGUGCAAGCGUUAAUCGGAAUUACUGGGCGUAAAGCGUGCGCAGGCGGUUCGGAAAGAAAGAUGUGAAAUCCCAGAGCUCAACUUUGGAACUGCAUUUUGAACUACCGGGCUAGAGUGUGUCAGAGGGAGGUGGAAUUCCGCGUGUAGCAGUGAAAUGCGUAGAUAUGCGGAGGAACACCGAUGGCGAAGGCAGCCUCCUGGGAUAACACUGACGCUCAUGAACGAAAGCGUGGGGAGCAAACAGG
RNAcentral lists this ribosomal RNA (429 nucleotides) under Acidobacteriota bacterium. RNAcentral describes it as "Acidobacteria bacterium partial 16S ribosomal RNA". It matches the Rfam family "Bacterial small subunit ribosomal RNA", at positions 355 to 776 of the family's 1533-position model. The record is from RNAcentral. Lineage: Bacteria; Pseudomonadati; Acidobacteriota.